CAGUAGUGUGAGUAGUCCUUUGAUCUGUGAUGUCAUCGGCUAUUCAUAGUAAGGCUACUAAGUUUGAUUGCAUGAUCUCUUGGUCCCUAACCAUUUAGAUCCUUACUAUAUAUAUUGAUUACAGUAGAUUCAGAUUUGCUGUUAUGAGUAGGAUGCACCUAGAUAGAAUCUAUUGAUCUUAGUAAAAAAAGAGAAAUCCCAUACAAUUUGCGAGACUGAGUUCAGAAAGUUUUUGGCC
Molecule: long non-coding RNA, 238 nt
Filed under: Elaeis guineensis (African oil palm)
Lineage: Eukaryota; Viridiplantae; Streptophyta; Magnoliopsida; Arecales; Arecaceae
Description: long non-coding RNA (EGUI_LNC018358)
Source: RNAcentral